GCUAUGAGGUAGCUCAGUUAGUUAGAGCAUGGUGCUGGUAACGCCAAGGCCGCAGGUUCGAAUCCCAUAUGGGGAAGCA
Podarcis lilfordi (Lilford's wall lizard) is the source of this 79-nucleotide non-coding RNA. NCBI's taxonomy places the organism in Eukaryota, Metazoa, Chordata, Lepidosauria, Squamata, Lacertidae. The record is from the annotation of a GenBank genome assembly.